UACGGAGGAUCCGAGCGUUAUCCGGAUUUAUUGGGUUUAAAGGGUGCGCAGGCGGGGGAUUAAGUCGGCGGUGAAAUUUUGCAGCUCAACUGUAAAAGUGCCUUCGAAACUGGUUUCCUUGAGUGUAGAUGAAGUAGGCGGAAUUUGUGGUGUAGCGGUGAAAUGCAUAGAUAUCACGAGGAACUCCGAUUGCGCAGGCAGCUUACUAAACUACUACUGACGCCCAGGCACGAAGGCGUGGGGAUCAAACAGGAUUAGAUACCCCUGUAGUCCCUGA
Molecule: ribosomal RNA, 277 nt
Filed under: uncultured prokaryote
Description: partial 16S ribosomal RNA
Rfam family: Bacterial small subunit ribosomal RNA
Source: RNAcentral